AGUUUUAAUGACUCAUUUUUCACCCCUCUUGAGGAGUGCAUUGAAAGUAUAGGUUCUAAGGGUAUUGCUGCCCAGGAUACUCUCAUGACAUUUCCGUUGGUAAGUUCUCAAGUGGUGCAUAUUCAAGGUAAUAUUUAUGAAACACUUGGGAUAGGUAAGUCAAUUCCAUUUCUCCUAUCAUUACAUCAUGUGACUUUUGCUAUAAAGUCACCAUUUAAUGAUCCACCACGACCAAAAAUGGUGGAUUAUUCGUUAACUAAGCCUCCUUGAAAAAUGAGGUAGUCAAGCUAUUGACUUUAAAGAAGCGCUUAUUGGGAGGCAACCCAAUGUUUGUUUAAGUUUAUGUUAUUUUGGGGUGAUUUUAUGUUUAAAGUAUAUGUUUGAGUUAUUUUGUUAUUUUUCAUUUGUAGGUAUUGGAAAUGGAAGCAAAAGUGACCAAAUGAGGUUAAAAAGGCGAAUUUUGAUCAAGGAACUCAACCCCUCAAUUUGAGUAAUUGUUGUUUUUGAUUUGUUAGAAGGGGUUAAAAUGCAUAUUUUGAUCAUUUAACAUGUGCAUGUAUUGAGUAUUUUAACAAACAAAUGAUCUAUGAUGCAUUUUGAGUGAUUGGGGUAUCAUUUGUAAUUUUUCAAAGUUGGCUUUCUGCAAAAAUUUCGCAGAAGAAAACGUAUUUUGGCUGAAAACGCGCCUUAGAAUCGCGUUUUCCAUAAUCGCGUUUUCAAUUCUGCGCCUAUACUGAAGAAAACGCGCCUUAAAAACGCGACAGGAAGUCGCGUUUUCUACCAAGUCGCGUUUUAAAGCCUGAUCAAAAAUUUAAAACGCGACUUCAAAUACGCGACUCCAAGUCGCGUUUUAUAACACAGUCGCGUUUUAGAUCCUGCAAGAUAUGUGAAGAAACGCGACUUCACAAAACGCGGCUUGAUGGCGCGUUUUGAUGAGUCGCGUUUUCGGAGCAAAAAAAAAAAAAAAUUGCAGAUUCCUUGAUUCUCUUUUUUCUUCUUUUCCUCAUAUAUAUUUUCUUGUACCUUGAGUUGCUUAUUGUGUAUUUUUUUUAGGUACAUCACGAAAACAAAGGAUUGAAGUUACGGAUCAUCAUUUUGUUUAUUAAACCUUUGUUUUCACUUUUGUUUCUUAUUUUUCAUUUUUAGGAUUACAUCACUAAUGGUUAUCCAAUGAAACUCAUGAAGCGUUGGAGAUACACGGACAAUGGAUUUUGAAGCUUCAUAUUCAAUCGCAACAAUAGGGGAGUAUUACUUUCUUUAUCUUGAUUUUCCUUUUUACACAUUGAGGACAAUGUGUAUGUUAAGUGUGGGGGGAGAAUUGAGAUUAUAUACAUUGUAUGUGAUUGAAUUAUUAGUUGCAAAUAUUGGGCUUGUGUUAAAAUUCAAAAUUUUUCUAAAAUCUUGUCCAAAAUUGCAAACUUGCCCCAAAAAGUUUCAUAUUUUUUCAAUUUUAUCCAAGGGGUAACAAGUUCCAUACCAUUAGUAGUUCAAAUUUCUCCUACAUUUGAGAUAAAUAUAUGUGAUUUGGAAACUUCUUUUCUCAUUUAACUUGGAAAUGACUAUUAUGUGAUUAUAAUUUUGCAUUUGUAGGAAAAUAUAUCUUGUGAAGUGGAGAAAAUUAUGCCUAUAUUUUUUUUGCAUAUUUGAUGAAAUUUCUUCUCUUUAUUGGAUUUUAUAAGUUAAGUGAUAAAUAUGGUCAAUAAGUGCAAUACUCUUCUCAUGAUUAUUUUUUUUAGAAACUUAUUAUUCUCUUUGCUAUAAAAAAAAAGAAAAAAAAAUGAUGAAAAAUGAAAAAAAUGAAGAAAAAGAGAAAAACAAAAAACAAAAGAAAAAAGAAAAUAAAUAAAAAUUCUUCUACUCCAAUGAUUCUUGUACUUAGUAACCGGGAGUGUUCAUCUACAAAUGUCGACUUUCGCGUAAAACGGUACUUGAAUUAAGAGUAUGCAAAGCAACUUGAGUAUGUGAAGUGUUGAGUAACCGGUGAUCUUCAUCUAAAAAUGUCGAUCCUCGCGUCAAAAGGCAUUCUCACGUCUUAAGUAAUAUUUAGAUACGUAAUAUUAAUAAAUAUCUUUUUAAACAGAAUUAAAAGAUGAUCAUGAGUUUAGGAAGCAUUAUUAUUGACCAUAUGAGUUGCUUGCUUGUGAAAUCAGGUAAGGAUGAAAAAUUGAUUUGAAUUUGUUAUAAUGAUGGUAUAAUUGGCUCUCCUUUACUUGAUAUUAUGAGUACUUGAACUUAAUUGAAUAAUUGCAUAAUGGUUAUUUACUUUGUUUUGAGGAGAUGAAAUUGAAAUGCUACAUAUGUUUAUUUUCAAAUUUUGGAUCAUUGUUGGUUUGUAUUUUUAUUGCUUGAGGACAAGCAAUGGUUCAAGUGUGGGGGUAUUUGACAAGGGUUUAUUUUACGUAUUUUUAGUGUGUUUUAUUAGUUAAUUUUGGUUUGAUUAUUUAGUUUUAUAACUAAAAUAACUAAGGUUUUGGUAAAAAUCUACAUUUUAUGUUAAAUUGGCUAAAUAUUGCAUUUGUUGGAUUUUUAUGGGAAAAACUUCAUAUUUUGUAGGUUUAAUGAUUCAAUCAUCAAAUGAAGUGCAUUGAGAAGAUAUUUGGAUGAUUGAAGAUGGAUUAAAGUGGGGAAAAUAAAAUAUGAAGUGUAAAAGGAAGAAAUGCAAUUUGAGGACAAAAAAUCAAGAAAAGUCAGCUUUGACAACUCAGACAUAUUUUCGUAUUUUGACUAUAUCAGGAGCUACAAUGAUCGGAUCAAGGUGAUCUUGGUACCAUUUUGAAGCUAAGAGAUAUAUCUGCAUUUGGUAUGAAGACAUCAAAGUCCAAUUCAGCCGUUUUCCUGGUCAAAAGGUCGAAACACAGAAACUUAUCUGGAUGGUCGAAAGCUGAAACCCAGAAUUGACCAGUCUAUGGUAUUUUGACCAUAUCUCCGUCCACCGAUCUCCAAAUUAUAUGAUUCUUGAAGCAUUGGAACUCUAAUUCAAAGGGCUACAACUUUUGUGUUUUACACAAAAGCCAGUUCGGCCUUCAUCAUGGAGAAAAAUGCAGUUGAAGUGAGGUCAAAAGUAAAAACGUGUCUGGCAGCCGAAUUUCUGUAAUUUGCUCAGCCAUUUUUCUCAUCUUCACACUACUUUCCAGCUAGAGUUGGAGAGAAAACGUAGGCUGCACAUGCUUCAGAAGACAUAAGGAAGAGAUAUAGCCAAGGUUCCAAGUCAAAAGCCAUUAUUUUUGACUCCCUUAACAAAUUCAGAUUUGGAGAAUCAUAGCAGAAAUUUUUGACUGGUAAGGGAAGGACUUUUCAUCAGCUUAUAUGCAGGACAUUCAGAAUCAUACGGGAGAAGUUUGGAGUCUGCAAAAAUGUAGCUUUUCCAUUCUCUUAGUAUUAGAUUAGUGUAGUAUAGUUUAGCUAGUUAGUUCAUCCACUCUUGUAUAUUAUCUAGAUUAGGAUGAAAAUGGAGGAUGAAGAAGGCAAGGAAGAAAGCUCAUGUGACAAGGGUUGUAUUCCUUCCAAACUCUUUAUCUUUUGUAUUUGAUUCCAAGUUUAGUUAAUAUACAAGUUCUGGAUUUUGUGUUUAAUAUGUGUAUCUAAAGUUUAAGCCUUGGGUUUGGUUGAACUUUCUAUGAUUGUUAGUGUUUAUUAUUUGGUUAUUUGAUUGCUAUGAUUUGAGCAAGUUAUUUAGCACUUUGACUCUUUAAAUCAUGAUUAAUCUGGUACCAUUAAUUAUGAUUAUCUAAGGUGUUGUUUCUGCAAUGGAAAUUGAGAUUUAACACUAGUUCAAGAAGUGCUAAACAUAGGGAGUACACUCACGAAAGUAGAGGUGCACCUAUGUGGUUUUUAGUGAUUCAUUUCAUGUAAUUUCAUUGAAGAAAUGAACUUGUAGCUAAUUUCAUAACCAUGAGAAUAGGUAUGGAUUAGUUAUAAGUAUAAUUGAUUCACUACGAAAGUAGGAUUCAAAUGCAUAAGGAAAUUACACCAUAACUAGCCUAGAUGUAGUAAUUAAUGAUCCAAAUAUAGCACUUGCAUGAGUAGUUAGGGAUACCACAACCUAAGGAGCAUUUAAUUGUUAUUUUGUAUAAUUUCAGUAGGAUAAAUUUGUUAUAAUUCAUUGAUAGUCUAAAUAAUAGAGAAACUUUAGUAAUACCGGUAAUUGUUCACUCUUCCUUGUGGGAUCGACCCUUAAUACCCUAUACUCGCUCACGAUUCGUAUACUUGCGAUAAAUCGCGUGUGGGGUAUUUAGGAGUUUAUAAAUGUAAAACUUGAUUAGGAUGAGCUUAAUUGUAUAUGUAUACUCCGCGCACGUCAAGUUUUUGGCGCCGUUGCCGGGGAAGAUUUGGCAAUAUCGGUGUGAAGAGCAACUUUAUUAAUUUAGACAAUUUUUCUUAUUUUUGUUAUUUUUGUUGUAUCUUGUGUGUUUUAUGUCAUUUUUUUUUUUAGUCAACUUUUAUUAUUAUUAUUAUUAUUUUUUUCUGUUUUAGUUUGUGUCUUGGAAUCUAUCCUUCUUAACUAAUCUUACUUUUGAGAUUGUUUAAAAGUAAUUUUAGAUAAUGAGGAGGGUAGGUGAACUGGGAGGACAAAGCUUGAGAAAUGAAAGAUUGACAAUGGAUGGUUACCUAGUGCAAAGCUCCUUCAACAGAGGUAACCAAGAAAUUACUGAAGGUAUGUUUUUUGAAGAUGGUAUAAGGUGCUUAAAGGCUAAAUUUGAUGUUAUGAUGCUACAAGUUCAAAUGGACAAAAUUGUGCAGGAAAUUGAACAAAGGAGGAAUGCAAAUGUUUUUAAUUCUUAUCAUGUGAUUUGUGACUUGUGUGGAGAUUAUCAUGCUUCUAAUACAUGUAGACAAGCACAAAAUAUGGAUUAUUAUGAUGAAUUAGAGCAUUACAAUCCUUGUUUUGAUCGAUAUAGUGCUAAUUUGAGCAAUUCUCCUGCUUAUGGUUGGAAUAAUCAAUGUACUUAUAGUAAUUCUUCAUAUUUUUAUGAUUACCAACCUGAAUGUGUCUAAUAUGAAUCAAAACCAUCUUGGGAGUUGGCAAUUGAAAUGGUAGCUAAUGAUUCUAAGCCAUCUUGGGAGUUAGCUUUAGAAAAAUUAGCUAAUGCAACUUCCAACCGUUUUGAUAGGAUUGAGGAAAGAAUAGAUGAAUUAACUUCUCACUUUGGCAGAAUAAAUGAGCAAUUGAAUGCAUUGUGUGAGGUUAUUUCUUCUAAUAAAUUGCAAAAUGAUCCUAGCAUGAAUGGUAAGAAUGUUGUAUGUGAAAAUGGAUUGCAUGUUGAUGAAAAUGAUGAAUCUCAAUUGUGUUUCAAUGAGCAAAUGUCCAUUUCACAAGAUAAUAUCUUUGGAACUAACUUUGAGGCUCAAGAGGUGAGUUUUAAUGACUCAUUUUUCACCCCUCUUGAGGAGUGCAUUGAAAGUGUAGGUUCUAAGGGUAUUGCUGCCCAGGAUACUCUCAUGACAUUUCCGUUGGUAAGUUCUCAAGUGGUGCAUAUUCAAGGUAAUAUUUAUGAAACACUUGGGAUAGGUAAGUCAAUUCCAUUUCUCCUAUCAUUAGAUCAUGUGACUUUUGCUAUAAAGUCACCAUUUAAUGAUCCACCACGACCAAAAAUGGUGGAUUAUUCUUUAACUAAGCCUCCUUGAAAAAUGAGGUGAAAUAGUCAAGCUAUUGACUUUAAAGAAGCGCUUAUUGGGAGGCAACCCAAUGUUUGUUUAAGUUUAUGUUAUUUUGGGGUGAUUUUAUGUUUAAAGUAUAUGUUUGAGUUAUUUUGUUAUUUUUCAUUUGUAGGUAUUGGAAAUGGAAGCAAAAGUGACCAAAUGAGGUGAAAAAAGCGAAAUUUGAUCAAGGAACUCAACCCCUCAAUUUGAGUAAUUGUUGUUUUUGAUUUGUUAGAAGGGGUUAAAAUGCAUAUUUUGAUCAUUUUACAUGUGUGCAUAUUGAUAAAUUUUACAAACAAAUGAUUUAUGAUGCAUUUUGAGUGAUUGGGGUAUCAUUUGUAAUUUUUCAAAGUUGGCUUUCUGCAAAAAUUUCGCAGAAGAAAACGCAUUUGGGCUGAAAACGCGCCUUAGAAUCGCGUUUUCCAUAAUCGCGUUUUCGAUUCUGCGCCUAUACUGAAGAAAACGCGCCUCAAAACGCGACAGGAAGUCGCGUUUUCUACCAAUUCGCGUUUUCCAGCCUGAUCAAAAAUUGAAAACGCGACUUAAAAUACGCGACUCCAAGUCGCGUUUUUAAGCAUAGUCGCGUUUUCGAUCCUGCAAGAUAUGUGAAGAAACGCGACUUCAUAAAACGCGGCUUGGUGGCGCGUUUUGAUGAGUCGCGUUUUCGGAGCAAAAAAAAAAAAUGCAGAUUCCUUGAUUCUCUUUUUCUUCUUUUCCUCAUAUAUAUUUUCUUGUACCUUGAGUUGCUUAUUGUGUAUUUUUUUUAGGUACAUCACGAAAACAAAGGAUUGAAGUUACGGAUCAUCAUUUUGUUUAUUAAACCUUUGUUAUCACUUUUGCUUCUCAUUUUUUUUUUAGAAUUACAUCACUAAUGGUUAUCCAAUGAAACUCAUGAAGCGUUGGAGAUACACGGACAAUGGAUUUUGAAGUUUCAUAUUCAAUCGCAACAAUAGG
This 6594-nucleotide long non-coding RNA is filed under the name Coffea arabica (coffee). RNAcentral describes it as "long non-coding RNA (CARA_LNC008391)". Lineage: Eukaryota; Viridiplantae; Streptophyta; Magnoliopsida; Gentianales; Rubiaceae. The record is from RNAcentral.